RNAcentral lists this ribosomal RNA (567 nucleotides) under uncultured bacterium. Its description in RNAcentral is "partial 16S ribosomal RNA". It matches the Rfam family "Bacterial small subunit ribosomal RNA", at positions 355 to 914 of the family's 1533-position model. The record is from RNAcentral.
UGGGGAAUAUUGCACAAUGGGCGCAAGCCUGAUGCAGCCAUGCCGCGUGUGUGAAGAAGCCUUCGGUUGUAAGCACUUUCAGCGAGGAGGAAGGUGGUGAGCUUAAUACGCUCAUCAAUUGACGUUACUCGCAGAAGAAGCACCGGCUAACUCCGUGCCAGCAGCCGCGGUAAUACGGAGGGUGCAAGCGUUAAUCGGAAUUACUGGGCGUAAAGCGCACGCAGGCGGUUUGUUAAGUCAGAUGUGAAAUCCCCGGGCUCAACCUGGGAACUGCAUUUGAAACUGGCAAGCUAGAGUCUCGUAGAGGGGGGUAGAAUUCCAGGUGUAGCGGUGAAAUGCGUAGAGAUCUGGAGGAAUACCGGUGGCGAAGGCGGCCCCCUGGACGAAGACUGACGCUCAGGUGCGAAAGCGUGGGGCAGCAAACAGGAUUAGAUACCCUGGUAGUCCAGCGCUGUAAACGAUGUCGAUUUUGGAGGUUGUGCCCUUGAGGCGUGGCUUCCGGAGCUAACGCGUUAAAUCGACCGCCUGGGGAGUACGGCCGCAAGGUUAAAACUCAAAGGAAUUGAC